This 45-nucleotide non-coding RNA is filed under the name Schistosoma mansoni. Lineage: Eukaryota; Metazoa; Platyhelminthes; Trematoda; Strigeidida; Schistosomatidae. The record is from RNAcentral.
AUCUAGCUGACGAGUCCCAAAUGGAACGAAAUGCGUGUUCUUGAU